AUCGUGUUUCGGAAGAUCAGCGACGUGAAGCGGGAGGAGGAGGAGCGCAUGAAACGCAAGAACGAGGCCCCCCUGAUCCUGCCCCCGGACCACCCUGUCCGGAGACUCUUCCAGAGGUUCCGGCAGCAGAAAGAGGCCAGGCUGGCGGCCGAGAGGGGCGGCCGGGACCCGGACGAGCCAGACGUGGAGAAGGGCAGUGUCCUCGCCGAGCGCGCCUCGGCCAACCACAGCCUCGUGAAGGCCAGCGUGGUCACGGUCCGGGAGAGCCCCGCCACGCCCGUGUCCCUGCAGGCCUGUCCCCCGGGGGCGGGGGCGCCCGACCUGGCCAAGCUGCACGCGCCCGGGUCCGAGUGCCUGGGCCCCAGGGGCAGCGACUGCGCCAAGCGCAAGGGCUGGGCCCGCUUCAAGGACGCUUGCGGGAAGGGCGAGGACUGGAACAAGGUGUCCAAGGCCGAGUCCAUGGAGACGCUCCCCGAGAGGACCAAGGCGUCAGGGGAGGCCACGCUGAAGAAGACAGAUUCUUGCGACAGCGGCAUCACCAAGAGCGACCUGCGCCUGGACAACGCGGGCGAGGCCCGGAGCCCCCAGGACCGGAGCCCCAUCCUGGCCGAGGUCAAGCACGCCUUCUACCCGAUCCCCGAGCAGACGCUGCAGGCCGCCCUCCUGGAGGUGAAGCUCGAGCUGAAGGAGGACAUCAAGGCCUUGCACAGCAAAAUGACCAACGUCGAGAAGCAGCUCUCGGAGAUACUCAGGAUAUUAACUUCCAGAAGGGCCUCUCAGUCUCCCCAGGAGCUGUUCGAAAUAUCCGGGCCCCAGUCCCCGGAAUCCGAGAGAGACGUCUUCGGAUCGAGCUGAGAGGUCUGUCAGUAAAAAGUCAGAGACAAA
Non-coding RNA from Miniopterus natalensis, 885 nucleotides. Lineage: Eukaryota; Metazoa; Chordata; Mammalia; Chiroptera; Miniopteridae. The record is from RefSeq and is a predicted model, not a curated record.